AUUAUGGCCUUCGCUGGAGAUCAGGCCCAGAACAUCCAUUAUACACCCGAUUCUAAUUCUACCUUUCAAACUUGUAAUUUGAACUUCACUGCCAAAGCUGAGAGAACCCGGAUUGCAUUCUACAGUGUGUACUACAAUACCAGAACUGACGAUAUGAGCUCCCUGUGUGGACCGGUGGUGGAUGAUGUUCGAGUAUGGUUUUCGGGUGCUAGGAGAAUUGGGUUUGCUGGAGUUGGUCUUGUAUUUUGGGUGUUUGUUUUGGUUUUGGUGUUGGGUUAAAAGCUGGUUUGGUAGGAUAUUAACAAUGAAAAAAUGUGUUUUACUUAUGAUGUUGUCCUUAUAUAUAUAGUAAUAGGUGUUGGAAUCAUGGGAGUUCUGGUAAGUUGAAAUUCCCACCAAAGUCUCUGUCAU
This 411-nucleotide unclassified non-coding RNA is filed under the name Hevea brasiliensis (rubber tree). Lineage: Eukaryota; Viridiplantae; Streptophyta; Magnoliopsida; Malpighiales; Euphorbiaceae. The record is from RNAcentral.